Molecule: long non-coding RNA, 585 nt
Organism: Empidonax traillii (willow flycatcher)
Lineage: Eukaryota; Metazoa; Chordata; Aves; Passeriformes; Tyrannidae
Exons: 3
Source: RefSeq, a predicted model, not a curated record
CACGGCCCCAAGUCCGGCUCUGGCCGCUUAUUGCACGUACUGUGCCUGCCUUUCGCCUGUCCCCGCGAAACGGGAGACACGGGAGGAGCCGGGAAUAAUGGAGUGGAUCAGGAGGUCCUGGUAGACUCCUGGCACACAGAGAUGGCAGCAGUGCUCGGAUGAUUCUCUGUGGAGGAAGUGGUCUAUUCGUAUAGGAAGGUGAUUUUACUUCUGUGGAAAGGAGGGGUGAGUUACUACCCCUGAGGGACAACUGGUAUUGUACAUAUCCAAAAGGAAGAGCCAGGACAGGAAGAAGCAUACAACACUCAAUUCACAGAGUAGGACUUGCCAUACAGUUAAUGAAAUGCCUAAAUGACAAAUGCAGUGCCCUGAAACCUGUCACGAGAGACUUCCAAAGACAGUCACAAAAGACAAAGCGCUGAAGCUCCACUAAUUUGCAGGGAUUGGCCUGUCCCUGCCGCCGGCUAGAGCAGGGAGCCUGUGCCUAUGAGGUGUGAGCACAGCUGGCUCUUGGAUGUGUUCCAAUCCUUUUGGCAACAGCUGAGAGAUGAUGCCCAUCCAAUAAAUGGGGUCCACUCUAAAAAC